GCUACUUUGCUUUGGGAGUGCUGUCUGGCCAGACUAAUAAAGGUCUGUUAUGCUUUCCAACUUGUCCAGUGUGUUCCUUCUCGGGUGUUCUUCACUGCAGUCAGCUCCUCAGAGCGUUUGGUAAGGCCCCCGGUCUUACAUUUUGGAGGCCCCAGUGAGAUCCCCAGGUAGGAACCCUGGUUCACCUAAGACUCUGUGGUGGGAUCCAGCAGGAGACUCUUGGGUACAGACCUCAGAAAACCUCCAGAGGUUUGAUUCCAAGACCCUAGAACCACGUUGGAAGGGACCGGUUCCUGUUGUCCUGUCAACUCCCUUGGCAGUGAAGAUAGCUGGACAUUCUGCCUGGAAACAUCGCAACCAUCUGAAGGCAGGACCCCCUGCGGAUGUCACGAAGGACAAAUGGAAGGUUAUCAGCCAACCAGGUGACCGAAAGCUGAGACUGGGGAGGGUUGGAGAUAUUUCUCAUUCAUGAUAAUAUUCUCUGGGACACUGGCGGUACUGCCCCCAAGAAAAUUGGACCACACUGGAAAUGUAUGGUUCAACUGGCAAAAUCACUUAAUCUGUCUGAAUUCUGUCUAAAUAUAGAUGUAAAUUUCCAUUAUGUAUUAGGAAGCUGUCUCAUUCCAGUGUGUACCCCUUUAAGUUUAAUACGGCCCUAUACCCUGUUUAAGGAUAUCCCAGGGAAAAAAAUCUCACUUUAUAAAGAUAGUUACAAUUGGGGCAUUCCUCAUGUCAUAAACCUAAAAAUGCUGACAAAUUAUAUACACCCAGGAUAAUUAUGUCAAAUAAUACCCAACGUGCUAUAUAUGUAAAUUGUACAACCAAGUGUCUGAGAAUAAAACGAUCUGAAGGGAUGCCCUGCCAUAUAAAACAGAAAAUUGUGUAUAACAAUUGCCAUAUCUCCCUGCCGACAGGAUGGUUUUAUACCUGUGAAGGAAUAACUUUCAAUUAUAUUCCAGCCAAUUUAACCAAGACCCAUUGCAGCUUGAGUCGUCUAGCUGUAGUUUUACCAGAUAAAACUGAUUUGAUUAUGCCAAAUAGAACUAAAUGCUGGUCGCCUUAUACUGCGCCAGGAUGUGAUGAUGAUGUAAGUCUUUUGACAGAUGCUAAAGUGAUAUCUAUGAUAGCAUCUUUUGUUGCUCUGCCUUCCAUAGGAGUCCAUGCUGAAAAGGUGGUAUGAAAAUUAGCUUGCAAGGUGGUCAAAGGGUUAAAUGCUACCUCAUCAGCCUUGGCAUUAAUUAACCAGGAGUUACAAGAACAGAGACAAGCAAUCUUAGAUAAUAGAGCAGCUAUAGACUAUUUGUUGCUCUUUCAUCAUCAAGGUUGUGAAAGAAUAAAAAAUAUGUGUUGUUUCAAUCUGACUGACAAUAGUCCAGGAAUUAGAGAAAAGAUAAAACAGUUGGAAGACUUGGCUAAAAGGGUACAUGACGAAAAAGUAGGAUGGGACUUGUUCCAGUGGCUAACUAAAUGGUUGCCCAACCUACAAUGGUUAAAGCAACUUUUUCUCGUAGUUAUAGUUGUGUGCAUAUGCUUAAUAUUGUCGUGCUGCUGUAUACAAUGGAUGCCCACAUUUAUACAUAAGAUUACUUAAGUUGUAAAAUCAGUGGGGAAUGUGGGACCGCAUAACUCUGUAAUCAUAAAGGCUCCCCCAGCCCCAACAUAGUGAUUGAUUGUGAGUGAAUGGUUAAAAUGUGCUUGUUAGUUCUGGGACACUAGAUAAAAUCUGUAACAAACAUAGAGUUCCUAAGUGAAUUAUCCAACUCCUUGUUUGUCCGAAACCGAUGUUCUGACACAGCUAUCUAUAAGACAAUCUGCAAACAUCUUUUGACCAUCAACGUUUUUUCUCUUGCUAAUUUCCCCUGCAACCCCCUAUAAAAACAGCCUCAGGCUCUGAGCCAGUUGCCUCU
Molecule: long non-coding RNA, 1907 nt
Filed under: Heterocephalus glaber (naked mole-rat)
Lineage: Eukaryota; Metazoa; Chordata; Mammalia; Rodentia; Bathyergidae
Description: lncRNA (ENSHGLG00000047987.1)
Source: RNAcentral